GAUAUCCAAUUAAAAAAAAAUAGACUGUGUGUUGAGCACGCUUUCCUUGAGACCGAUUUCAAAGGCGGUCUUCAUAUCUGUUUGUUUUUUAUAUCCCAUCAACUCUUCAGCAACAUACUUCACUACUACUAGAGAAGAAAAGCGUGGGGUAUUGUGUAUUGGUGAAGCAUGGCUGCUGCAACGGCACCGACUAGCUUUCAUAUCCGCCGGAGCUUCAACUAUAACGCCAACCUCCAAAACUCCUUUCCAAAAGUGCGCUCAGUCAAAGCGCCUAGCAUAAUCACAGCUAAUUCCUUGAGAGCUCCACGUCCUCAAAAUGUCUCCGGAGAGUUCUUCGUCGAUCAUACAUGCAUAGACUGUGAUACCUGUCGAUGGAUGGCUCCGGAGAACUUUACAAGAGCUGGUGACAUGUCAGCAGUCUUUAAACAGCCCAGCUGUGAAGAAGAACGACUGAGAGCUCUUCAGGCCUUACUAUCUUGCCCAACAAGGUCAAUCCAUACAGAGAAACCUCCUCAUGAUAUUUUAGAAGUUCAGAAGACUUUUCCAAUCCCAAUAGAUGAGCAUACAUUGCCGGGAGUUUACCACUGUGGUUAUCAUUCUGACAAGUCAUUUGGAGCAGCUUCUUAUUUGAUCGUUCGUGCUGAAGGAAAUAUUCUUGUUGACAGCCCAAGGUACACAACAAAAUUGGAAAAUAAUCUUAAAAUGUUAGGUGGAGCUCGUUACAUGUUCCUCACCCACAGUGACGAUGUCGCAGAUCAUGAGAAAUGGUCAAAUCAUUUAGGCUGUGAGCGGAUUCUUCAUUCCCUGGAGGAACUUUUUCCAUGCGUAGGGAAUGUGCCACACCAGCCAAUCAUUGCAUUUGUUGCGAUGGAUGUCGAGCCUUGUCGAUCACUGCCUCCAACGCUUGGUGAAAUUUCUCUUCUGCUUCAUCUCUGCUGGAUGUGGUGCACGAUGCACCUCGAAGAACUAAAUCAAUCCAGGAGGUUAACCUCGAGGAAGGAGAGAGCUAAGAUCAGGGUAGAUCAUUCAACUGCUGCUGUAGAGAUUAAGCUGGAGGGGAGUGGACCAUGGAGCCUCAGUGACGAUGUCACACUUGUACAUACACCUGGACAUACAGAAGGGUCGGUAUGCUUGCUAUACAAACCAAGGAACGUACUUUUUACUGGGGACCACUUUGCGAUGGGUGAGCGUGGCUGGACCAUUUUCGAGAGAUACAACAAGCUUUCAGGUUGCAAACUUCAUGACGUGUUUCAUGUGUCACUUCUUAAGCCAUUCAAGGGUGAGGUACCUACAACUCCACCUACCCUUCCUCCAGUUGAAGAAGGACGUGUUGUUCCCACCCCUUGCUCCGUGCUCAGAUCGAAUCUGAAUUGUGAUAAUUGGGAAAUUCUGGUGCAUUGGUGCGGCCAAUCUGUUGAAGACUACACUUGGGAGACAGUGCAUCAUUUCAAAUCUUCCUUUCCAGACUUCAAGCUUGAGGACAAGCUUUUUCUCCGGUAAGGGGAUAAUGUUAUUGAUGCUUUUGUCUGGAAACAAUAUUCCAGACGCAAGAAUUAAUAGGACUGAUAAUGAGUUUAUUUUCUGAAUUAUUUUGUUAGUAGAAUAGAACUUCCCUUAGUGGAUUAGAACUCUUGGUAAUUCAGUUUUAUUGGGCCUUUUCUAUUUCUAGCUUGUUAGGACUCUUUGCUAGUGUAACCCUCUAUUUAAGAGAGUUGACGUUAUUAAUAAAACAAGUUGAAUUUUAUCAGAGAGUCGGAACUUUCUCAAACAAGUUUCCAGGUCUGCAGUUCCCUGAAUGAACUGCAAAAUUCAGCAAUCAUAGGUAAGUCACGAAACAAAAACAAGGGCUUAGACCAUAACGUUAGGUCUGACUUCCAAGUUAGUUGUCCAGUGACUCGAUCCAAAACUAGGGGCCAUAACAGUAGUUAACAGAUGUCAAGGUGG
Capsicum annuum is the source of this 1944-nucleotide RNA transcript. RefSeq lists it as uncharacterized. Lineage: Eukaryota; Viridiplantae; Streptophyta; Magnoliopsida; Solanales; Solanaceae. The transcript has 12 exons. The record is from RefSeq and is a predicted model, not a curated record.